CAUUCCUUUUUUUCAUAAAUGUGGCAAAGCUUCAGGGUCAUGAAAUCCUGCAAUGACGGUUAUAUACACAACACACAUACAUAUAAUAAUGUUAAUACACACUUAAUAUAGGACUCUUAAGCUUUUUAAGCUUUUUUAACGGGCAGCCUCAGAUUUGAGCCUGCCAACCAGCACCCUGUAAGAAGUCAGAAGGGCUACACCCUCAUGUUAUGAAUAUGGAAGUGACACAGCCUGAGGCUACAAAUGACAGAAUCAGGAUUGUCAAAACCCUGUUUUUCUGACUUUUGAUUCAGUAUUCUUUCUGUGACUACAUUCUAGCUUGUCAAAGUCUUUGCUAUAUCUAGACAAUGGCUCUUGAUCAAAGAAAAUACUUCUUUGCCCAGAAAGCAGUAGAGUUUUCAAAGGGAUCAGAAAUACAUGAGGUACAAGUUAACUUUUGCUGACAUACUUUAAAAGAGAUUCAUCAUGGUUUCAUUUGACUGUGAAAGGCAUAUAUUUUUCUCAUAUGCCCAGAGACAUUUCUCACUUUAAGCAAAAUUCUAAAUUUAACUCCAUUUUUUCUCUGUAGUUUCAUGCCACUGCAACAGGCUUUUGUUGAGAGCAAAAUAAUAGGACUCGUCUCGUGUGCCUGUCUUGUCUGGAGACCAGCACCAGAAAUUUAUCGCCAAUAAAAGUUCAACACCAUUCAAGGUAACUAUUUACUUCUACUUGGACAAAGGGUCACGUUAAAAAUGGUCUCCAUGCAAACAGAUACAAGAUAACAAAAAAAAUCUUCAGAAUCCAGAGGUUAUGUUUCCAAAAGACUGAAUAAAGAACUUUCUGAACUCUUCUAAACCAUGACGAUUUAGUAUAUCAUCAGAGAUAGGUUACAAUAAUCCCAAGCUACAGCAAUAGGCACCUGGCUUGAAAUAAGGCCUGUUACUAAAAUAACUGUAGCCUAAUUGUUCUUUAAGCUGUGUAAACCAAUUUAGGCACUACCGAGAUCCUAUCCUUCCGGGGGUGGUUAUCCAGAUUAUUCAAAGUGAGAGAUAAAAUGUCAGUUCCAGAAAGGCUUGAUCUUACCUACUGGCCAUAAAAUUGAAUGCUACCUGCUCUUGACAAGACGUAGUACCUGCCCACUGGGGCGACCAAGUGGUCGAGACUCUAAAUCUCUGGGAAGAUAGUUAAUACAUAUUGCAUACAAUUCAGAAAAAAGUACACCCAUGUUCCCUUUAUUAAAACAUCUCAGUCCACUUUCCCUGAGGCCCAUGACUUAUGUGACUGCUUUCUAAGCAGAGUGGACUACACUGUGCAUGGGUGGUUUCUAGCCCAGUUUCCUCACCUUGGCCCUGCUGCCCCAGGAAGCCAGAUAACCUUCGCUGUGGGGACUACUGUGUGCUGCACGAGCUUUAGUGGCCCCCUGGCCUCUAGUCACUAAAUGCCAGUAGCAACACCCUAUAUUCCCCUAGUUGUGACAAACAACAGUGUCCAAUAUUGCCAACUGUCCUGUGUCUGGGGGGAAGGGGGAAGGCAGCAAAAUUGCCCCUAGUUUAGAACCACUAUUCCUGCCAAAUUGUACCACACAAUUAUGCCACAAUCCAGUCUUGUUGCCUAAUUGCCUUAUGGGUUCCCCAACCACUCUAUAAAUUCCCCAAAAGCAAGACUAUUAAUCUUACAAGUAUACCUACCCUAGCAAAUAAUCAGAUAUGUACAACUCUUCUGAAAGUGUGAUCCUGCUGGCUAAAUAAGCCCAGAGGCCUGUCCUGUGCCUCUUAGCUACAAUGGCACAAGAACUGGCAGGAAGGGGUCCUCCACAAGUAAGGCCAACGCUGUAGUGAUGUGAUUUCACACAACAGUUGAGAUACCUUCCCAAGGCUCUCUGGCCAUGACAGAUUUACAGUAUACCAGCACAAUCUGAGCUUGGCUCAUAGUUCCAGAACCUCGCCCGCAGAUGAGGGAGGGACUGCACAUUCUCUUUUUGUUGGCAACCUGUCCCAGCCUCUCCUGGGCCUCCCACCACACUCCAGAGCCACACCCAGAGGGUGGGUACUCACACCACUGCCUGGUGCAUAACCAGGGAUUUCCAAACCCUUAAUGAAAACCACAUGAUCAGUUGGGCAGUAUUUGAAACCAAGAAUGAGACCAUGUGUCAUAGUUCAGUGAAGGCUCCUGAGAGCAUGUGUGUUAAGCAAGAGAACCAAAUAAUAAAUAUUCUAGCCUCCUUGAUACUAUGCCCAAGGGAACCGAUGUCUUAUGUGCAAUAUAAUCCCAGCAAACCCUAAGGCACUUUCAGGAAAAGAAGUCACUGUGUCACACUCCAGCUGUUCUCAAAGCAUGUGUCUCUCCUGAAAGGCACACAGCUUUCUGCCACUGCCCCUCCUCUCUCUUUAAAAGAACAAGAUGGGUCAAGCAAGUCAACUCCCACAGUUGAAUCCCCAUAUCCAGCAAGGAGCAACAGAUGCCUCUUAUAAGGUCCAGGGAAUGCGAUGAAAAAAGCAGCUUCUUGCAACAGAGAUGGUUGGAACUUAAAAAUUCGCCGGAAAGGGCUUGCAUAAGAACCACCCCUUCCCACCUUUAAGCAGGGAACUGAGGUGCUCUGUGAUGCUGUCACUUACAGGAUUUUUAUAAGUCAGUUCCGAUAAGGAUUUUGGCUUCAACCUCUGGUAGUAUAAACAAGUGUCACCUUGGUUUUUGCUGCAUUAUAUACAGCCAGUUCCCUUCUAAGCAGGGUCUUGCUUAAUUUGUCCUGAACCUGGUAGAGAGAGGCUAAGCACACACAGGAGGGUAAUGGUGACUGGGGCACACUCAAUCCUUUGCAGAACACCGGGCAUGUAGGAAGCAGGUCUGGCAGCAGACUUUGGUACAGGUACCAUACUAGAGCAACAUGCAAAAGCAGGACAAUGAGAAGAUGUGGCCUCCAGGGCCACCAGGGCCACCGCGGCCAUACAUUAGCUAUGUGAUCUUAAGUAGCUAAAUUCUUGAUUAUCAGUUUCCUCCAAAAAGGAAAUAAAAUACAGGAGAUAAGUCUCCUGCCUUGUGGGUGGCUUUCACGAUGAAAUAAUAAAUGUAUUAUAUAAAUAUUG
Manis pentadactyla (Chinese pangolin) is the source of this 3062-nucleotide long non-coding RNA. RefSeq lists it as uncharacterized. The record is from RefSeq and is a predicted model, not a curated record. NCBI's taxonomy places the organism in Eukaryota, Metazoa, Chordata, Mammalia, Pholidota, Manidae. The transcript has 2 exons.